AUGCAGGAACUUAACUUAACUGGUGCACGUCCAUCUUCACGUCGAUCUUCAUCUUCUCAUCGGUUGCUUGCACACGGGGAGACCCAUCUCUUCACCCCCCACAUCUUCAAUCUUUCUCAUUGUCGUCGAUGCCACAUCUUAUCGAACUACACCUCCUGUCCAGCGGCAACACAACUCGCCCUAUACAUGCAACUCAUCUCCACCGUAUAUGAACUCGCCGGAACUCCACCACCACGAACGGAAACACAAGGCACGAAUUCCUUUUUCCGUCAGCUCUUGCUCGCAAUUCUCCUCUGCCAGUGA
RNAcentral lists this ribosomal RNA (303 nucleotides) under Triticum aestivum (bread wheat). Its description in RNAcentral is "partial small subunit ribosomal RNA". Lineage: Eukaryota; Viridiplantae; Streptophyta; Magnoliopsida; Poales; Poaceae. The record is from RNAcentral.